This 460-nucleotide ribosomal RNA is filed under the name uncultured bacterium. RNAcentral describes it as "partial 16S ribosomal RNA". It matches the Rfam family "Bacterial small subunit ribosomal RNA", at positions 338 to 795 of the family's 1533-position model. The record is from RNAcentral.
CCUACGGGCGGCAGCAGUGAGGAAUAUUGGUCAAUGGGCGCGAGCCUGAACCAGCCAAGUCGCGUGAAGGAUGACUGCCCUACGGGUUGUAAACUUCUUUUAUAAAGGAAUAAAGUGAGGCACGUGUGCCUUUUUGUAUGUACUUUAUGAAUAAGGAUCGGCUAACUCCGUGCCAGCAGCCGCGGUAAUACGGAGGAUCCGAGCGUUAUCCGGAUUUAUUGGGUUUAAAGGGAGCGUAGAUGGGUUGUUAAGUCAGUUGUGAAAGUUUGCGGCUCAACCGUAAAAUUGCAAUUGAUACUGGCAGCCUUGAGUACGGUUGAGGUAGGCGGAAUGCGUAGUGUAGCGGUGAAAUGCUUAGAUAUCACGCAGAACUCCGAUUGCGAAGGAAGCUUACUAAGCUGCCACUGACAUUGAUGCUCGAAAGUGUGGGUAUCGAACAGGAUUAGAUACCCUGGUAGUC